This 497-nucleotide ribosomal RNA is filed under the name uncultured bacterium. RNAcentral's name for it is "partial 16S ribosomal RNA". It matches the Rfam family "Bacterial small subunit ribosomal RNA", at positions 28 to 507 of the family's 1533-position model. The record is from RNAcentral.
GAUGAACGCUGGCGGCGUGCCUAAUACAUGCAAGUCGAGCGAACGGACGAGAAGCUUGCUUUUCUGAUGUUAGCGGCGGACGGGUGAGUAACACGUGGAUAACCUACCUAUAAGACUGGGAUAACUUCGGGAAACCGGAGCUAAUACCGGAUAAUAUUUUGAACCGCAUGGUUCAAAAGUGAAAGACGGUCUUGCUGUCACUUAUAGAUGGAUCCGCGCUGCAUUAGCUAGUUGGUAAGGUAACGGCUUACCAAGGCAACGAUGCAUAGCCGACCUGAGAGGGUGAUCGGCCACACUGGAACUGAGGCACGGUCCAGACUCCUACGGGAGGCAGCAGUAGGGAAUCUUCCGCAAUGGGCGAAGGCCUGACGGAGCAACGCCGCGUGAGUGAUGAAGGUCUUCGGAUCGUAAAACUCUGUUAUUAGGGAAGAACAUAUGUGUAAGUAACUGUGCACAUCCUGACGGUACCUAAUCAGAAAGCCACGGCUAACUACGUG